AAAAAGAGUUCACGAUGUUUUCCGACGAGCUCGUAAAUGACGUAAACAAUCCGUUCGCCGAAACGCUGCAACGUGCGGCGAGAGAUAAGCGCGACAGCCUACGCGCGUGCUCGGUAUGCCGCCUCAGUACGCGUCGUUUGAUACACUGAUAUCCGCAACGGGUUAGUGCACUACAGUUCCUGCCGGCUGCACACGGCGUCUUAUCGCGCUUCGGACAAGUGCGCGCACAACGAUCUUUUUUUCUAUUUUAAGCACGUCCGCCGAGAAAGCCGCGAGGAUCUAGACAUUUGGACACGCGCGCGCGAGCGCGGUAUACGCGUAACGUAUUACGGAAUAUCGGAUUUGAGAUGAAGAACGGGCGUGAGAGAAUAUGGUAUAACGUUACGCCACGCGUCUGAACUUGCGACUUUGCAAGAUGCAAUUAUGCAACGUCUGAUCGCCGUACGUUAUUAUAUCGCGCAGCGGGAUAAUUUCACGGUGGCACGCGAGACCGUGGUGCAUCCCCAUAUUCCGCGCGGCGCGUCCGCGUGCGCGAACCUGCAGCGUGGAAUCUUGACCGCGCGCGAUCCAUGUGGGAAUUAAUUAACGACGCCGGCCUUACGUUGCAAAUCGAUAAAAGCGAUGCAAUAUGCCAACGCGAUAUUCCCGGUGGCUGUUAUUACACAAAAAAAAAAAACGUAUACUUUGCACGUCGCAAUUACGCGCCGAAAGAGAAUAGUCAUUAUUCUCGCCGGCGGACGAUCAAGCCUCGUCUCGACUACGAGUUCCUUCCGCAUGCGAAUGUAAAUUACGUAAAGACGCGGUUAAUCAGAAGCGGAAGGAACGAAGAGAGUCAUUCGCGGAUUGUUCGCGUGGAGGUUUCCUCGCGCAGCCUUCUUCCUCCACGUUUGGCAUUUAUUUAAUGUGUUCGAAGAUCAUAACGAGCAAUAACGAUCAUCGUUUCGCGCUCAUUUACAUGCAAUCUAACUUUGCAAACUUUUUUUUUUUUUAAAUACCGCGUUUGCAAAUAUUGUCAAACGCGGGGAAUUCCCGAGAUACCCGAUACGCGCAUUUAAAAGAAAACAUACUUGGUCGACUUAUUUGCAGGUGGGACAUGCGCACGCGCGUCACGGCAAACUACUAUAUCAAGUUUGGAGUUGGCCGCCUCGUCUUCUGCGAAGUCGUUUAUGAGGUACUUCUGCUUUAAUAGUAUAUCGAUCCUUCAUACACGGUAUUCGUUGAUGUAGGACGGAAACGAUUACUUCUGAAUGAAAAUUUCGAGGCGGCGCUUAGAAACGAAGAAGAAAUGUUCACCUAGAUACUUCCAUUCACUGCACUGUUUCACUCUUUGGCAAUGCGCGAAUGCACUUUAUCCCGCAUUCAGGAUGACUAUUGGUUUUGUAAACAACUGCAGGCAGCCGGCCAAAACAUCCUUUCACGAAUUGCGAAAAGUGUGUAUUGACGGAUAUAUUUGCGAGUGUAAAUUAACAAUUUCCGCUGGUGCCAUUUACAUUUCGAUAUCGAAACAAUUGCGACAAGUAUAUUCCGGUGAUGCAAGAAUGAUAUAAUGAUUUUGCUGCAAAAAUAAAAAAUGACAAUUUUCUCCCUC
Wasmannia auropunctata (little fire ant) is the source of this 1588-nucleotide long non-coding RNA. RefSeq lists it as uncharacterized. Lineage: Eukaryota; Metazoa; Arthropoda; Insecta; Hymenoptera; Formicidae. The record is from RefSeq and is a predicted model, not a curated record. The transcript is spliced from 2 exons.